GACGAACGCUGGCGGCGUGCUUAACACAUGCAAGUCGAACGGAAAGGCCCUGCUUUUGUGGGGUGCUCGAGUGGCGAACGGGUGAGUAACCCGUAAGUAACCUGCCCUUGACUUUGGGAUGACUUCAGGCAACUGGGGCUAAUCCCGGCUAGGAGCUCCUGCUGCAUGGUGGGGGUUGGAAAGUUUCGGCGGUUGGGGAUGGACUCGCGGCUUAUCAGCUUGUUGGUGGGGUAGUGGCUUACCAAGGCUUUGACGGGUAGCCGGCCUGAGAGGGUGACCGGCCACAUUGGGACUGAGAUACGGCCCAGACUCCUACGGGAGGCAGCAGUGGGGAAUAUUGCACUAUGGGCUGAAGCCUGAUGCAGCAACGCCGCGUGCGGGAUGACGGCCUUCGGGUUGUAAACCGCUUUCGCCUGUGACGAAGCGUUAGUGACGGUAAUGGGUAAAGAAGCACCGGCUAACUACGUG
Molecule: ribosomal RNA, 468 nt
Filed under: uncultured bacterium
Lineage: Bacteria
Description: partial 16S ribosomal RNA
Rfam family: Bacterial small subunit ribosomal RNA
Source: RNAcentral